Molecule: ribosomal RNA, 258 nt
Filed under: uncultured bacterium
Lineage: Bacteria
Description: partial 16S ribosomal RNA
Rfam family: Bacterial small subunit ribosomal RNA
Source: RNAcentral
UACGAAGGGGGCGAGCGUUGUUCGGAUUUACUGGGCGUAAAGGGCGCGCAGGCGGCCAUUCAAGUCAGGCGUGAAAGCCCCGGGCUCAACCUGGGAAUGGCCAUGGAAACUGGCGAACUGGAGUGUGGCAGAGGGGGGUGGAAUUCCGCGUGUAGCAGUGAAAUGCGUAGAGAUCCGGAGGAACACCGACGGCGUAGGCAGCGCCCUGGCUGUGAAUAAAGCUGACACUGAGGCACGAAAGCUGGGGGAGCAAACAGG